This 250-nucleotide unclassified non-coding RNA is filed under the name plant metagenome. RNAcentral describes it as "partial contains small subunit ribosomal RNA, internal transcribed spacer 1, and 5.8S ribosomal RNA". The record is from RNAcentral.
GUAGGUGAACCUGCGGAAGGAUCAUUAAAGAGUCUAGAGACUUAGGUCUACUACUCCACCCUUUGUUUACAAACCAUUGUUGCUUUGGCGGGCCCGUCGCAAGACAACCGGCUCCGGCUGGUCAGCGCCCGCCAGAGGACCUAAAACUCAUGUUUAUAUUAUUGUCUGAGUACUAUAUAAUAGUUAAAACUUUCAACAACGGAUCUCUUGGUUCUGGCAUCGAUGAAGAACGCAGCAUCUGACUGACUGA